GCCGGCAUGGUGGAAUGGUAGACGCAGUGGACUUAAAAUCCACUUCCCUAUGGGAGUGCGGGUUCGACUCCCGCUGCCGGCA
This 82-nucleotide transfer RNA is filed under the name Candidatus Magasanikbacteria bacterium CG_4_9_14_3_um_filter_32_9. RNAcentral describes it as "tRNA-Leu". It matches the Rfam family "tRNA". From Rfam's summary of the family: Transfer RNA (tRNA) molecules are approximately 80 nucleotides in length. Their secondary structure includes four short double-helical elements and three loops (D, anti-codon, and T loops). Lineage: Bacteria; Candidatus Magasanikiibacteriota. The record is from RNAcentral.